Molecule: ribosomal RNA, 585 nt
Filed under: Papiliotrema laurentii
Lineage: Eukaryota; Fungi; Basidiomycota; Tremellomycetes; Tremellales; Rhynchogastremaceae
Description: partial large subunit ribosomal RNA
Rfam family: Eukaryotic large subunit ribosomal RNA
Source: RNAcentral
GUACGGCGAGUGAACCGGGAAGAGCUCAAAUUUGAAAUCUGGCGUCCUCAGGGCGUCCGAGUUGUAAUCUAUAGAGGCGUUUUCCGUGCCGGACCGUGUCCAAGUUCCUUGGAACAGGAUAUCAAAGAGGGUGACAAUCCCGUACUUGACACGACGACCGGUGCUCUGUGAUACGUCUUCUACGAGUCGAGUUGUUUGGGAAUGCAGCUCAAAAUGGGUGGUGAGUUCCAUCUAAAGCUAAAUAUUGGCGAGAGACCGAUAGCGAACAAGUACCGUGAGGGAAAGAUGAAAAGCACUUUGGAAAGAGAGUUAAACAGUACGUGAAAUUGUUGAAAGGGAAACGAUUGAAGUCAGUCGUGACCGAGAGGCUCAGCCGGUUCUGCCGGUGUAUUCCCCUCGGUCGGGUCAACAUCAGUUUUGUCCGGUGGAUAAGGGCGGUAGGAAGGUGGCACCCUCGGGUGUGUUAUAGCCUGCCGUCGCAUACAUCGGGUGAGACUGAGGAACGCAGCUCGCCUUUAUGGCCGGGGUUCGCCCACGUCCGAGCUUAGGAUGUUGACAUAAUGGCUUUAAACGACCCGUCUUGAA